RNAcentral lists this microRNA precursor (181 nucleotides) under Oryza brachyantha (malo sina). Its description in RNAcentral is "MIR812 microRNA precursor family". It matches the Rfam family "MIR812 microRNA precursor family". The record is from Rfam by way of RNAcentral. Lineage: Eukaryota; Viridiplantae; Streptophyta; Magnoliopsida; Poales; Poaceae.
AACAAAUCAAUUUUUCAGUUUUUAGAUAUAAUGUUUAACUCUUCGUCUUAUUAAAAAAAUUUACAAUUAAUAAUUUUAUUUUUAUUAGAUGAUAAAACAUACAUAGUACUUUAUGUAUGACUAAUUUUUUUAAAAUUUUUUUAAAUAAGACGGAUGGUCAAACGCUCGACGCAAAAAUCGA